GAUGAACGCUGGCGGCGUGCCUAAUACAUGCAAGUCGAGCGAACAGACGAGGAGCUUGCUCCUCUGACGUUAGCGGCGGACGGGUGAAUAACACGUGGAUCACCUACCUAUAUGACUGGUAUAACUUCGGGAAACCGGAGCUAAUACCGGAUAAUAUCUUGCACCGCAUGGGUCAUUGGUAAAAUACGGUUUUGCUGUCACUUAUAGAUGGAUCCGGGCCGCUUUAGCGAGUUGGUAAGGUAACGGCUUACCAAGGCAACGAUGCGUAGCCGACCUGAGAGGCGGAUCGCCCACACUGGAGCUGGGACGGGGACAAGGGUCCUACGGGACGCAGCAGUCGGGAAUGUGCGGCAACAGGCGAGAGCAUGACAGAGCGGGGGGACGUGAGAGACGAAGGUGUUGGGAGCGUGAUGACGUGUUAUUGGUGAAGAACAAAUUUGGAAGGAACUGUGGCCGGAGUGACGGUACCUGGUAAGGAAGCAACGGCUAACUACGUG
RNAcentral lists this ribosomal RNA (497 nucleotides) under uncultured bacterium. RNAcentral's name for it is "partial 16S ribosomal RNA". It matches the Rfam family "Bacterial small subunit ribosomal RNA", at positions 28 to 507 of the family's 1533-position model. The record is from RNAcentral.